AGCAGCCGCGGUAAUUCCAGCUCCAAUAGCGUAUAUUAAAGUUGUUGCAGUUAAAAAGCUCGUAGUUGAAUUUCGGGAUCAAAUUAUCGGUCGUGCCUCGGUACGUACUGGUAUUAUUGGUUCCUACCUUCUGAAGAACCGCGAUGUCAUUAAUUUGGUGUCGUGGGGAAUCAGGACUGUUACUUUGAAAAAAUUAGAGUGUUUAAAGCAGGCUUACGCUUGAAUACAUUAGCAUGGAAUAAUGAAAUAGGACGUUUGAUUCUAUUUUGUUGGUUUCUAGGAUUGACGUAAUGAUUAAUAGGGAUAGUUGGGGGCAUUAGUAUUCAAUUGUCAGAGGUGAAAUUCUUGGAUUUAUUGAAGACUAACUACUGCGAAAGCAUUUGCCAAGGAUGUUUUCAUUAAUCAAGAACGAAAGUUAGGGGAUCGAAGACGAUCAGAUACCGUCGUAGU
This 450-nucleotide ribosomal RNA is filed under the name uncultured Glomeromycotina. RNAcentral describes it as "SSU rRNA". It matches the Rfam family "Eukaryotic small subunit ribosomal RNA", at positions 569 to 1024 of the family's 1831-position model. Lineage: Eukaryota; Fungi; Glomeromycota. The record is from RNAcentral.